Molecule: long non-coding RNA, 1563 nt
Organism: Lotus japonicus
Lineage: Eukaryota; Viridiplantae; Streptophyta; Magnoliopsida; Fabales; Fabaceae
Exons: 3
Source: RefSeq, a predicted model, not a curated record
AAUUUUCUCCUUUUAUACCAGUCUUCUGUUCUUCAUCGAUACUAGACUAGACAUGUUUCUGUGAUUGCCCAAUAGUGAUUUAUUCAUCAUUGUCCAUACCAUCUUCAUGAUUCAUCAACUUUUGGCUGAAUUACGUGACAAUGUCAAGGAAAUGGGCAAUUAAAUGUGAUAAUAAGUGAUACCUACAGUUUUAGAAGGGUUUAAAACGGAAAGAAAAUGUCAGUAGCUUAUUAAACCAUAGUGUUGUGUGAUAAAAGUUUCUGAUUUUAAGUUCCAGGUGCAGUGGACUAAAUUGAUCUGGGAAAAAAGUUUUUCUACCCUCUUAUUUAGUGGAGGCCAUAUGCAUACAUCUAAAAGCCAGCUUGGACAAACUUUUCAAGUUUGUGAUUGAAGAAACUGAUUUAAAUAGAUAUAUGUGUUGUCAUGCUCCCACUACAUGCAACUACAAGGCUGGAAAAAAUUGAUGAGUACUUGCUUCACUUGUGUUUGUGCAGCUAUACUCGCUACUUCGACCAGCUGUUGAUAUAGCAGAAAUAUUUCUUUGGCUCAUAUUGACCCUUUUUCAGUUAAUCUUUUUAUUUUAUUCUGAGGUUACCAUUUACAACAAUUUUCUCUUUUAGAUCUCAUUUUGUUUCCGUUUUCCACAAUCUGGAAGAGGGUUUAGUAAAUAGUAUUUGUGAAGAGGAAAGGGGACAAUAUUUAGAAGUGAUCAUUUAUGUAUUUAGGGCAUAAUCUAGACCCAUUUGAUUGCAUACUAGACCCAUUUGAAGACAAGUUACAAGUAAUGUUGAUCUCAUGUUAGGCAGCUCCAAAUCCACCUUAACUAAUUUUAUUAUCCAAACUGAAGUUGCUUUGCUUAUAUCAUUGAUGCUGAAACUACUAAUAAUGAACAAGCAUGCUGCAAAUGAAAUUUAUAUAAGCCAGACUAGGUCAAGUUCUCGGUUAAUGUUUGGAAGCUAAGAGUGUAACCUCUAAAAUCUUUGAACUGAGCCUCAUUGUUGAUUGAACUUCAUGGUUGUUUCUCUUAUUUGGAGUUUUUGGCUUGAUGAUUUGAUUUGUGUCAAUUUGACUUUUUUUUUUUAUUCUGGGUGAGGUUGGAUUAACUCCUCCCGGGUAGUAUUUGACAAUUAUACUACUUGCAGGUGCAUUUGUUGGAUGUUCAUUUGAAGGCAAUACUGUCAUGAAAACUGACUUAGGACUUUAGUAGAGAAGAAAAAUGCUAUAUGUUUUCUCUUGCUUCUUUCAUGUCUUUUCUUCUUCCUUCUAAUAAUUAGCAAAUGGAUGUUUUAGAGUUAGCUUGAAAUUAUUUUUCUCUUUGUUCUUAACUUUAACUAUAUCAAGUCCUCUGGCAUCCUCUGCCUAGCUUAAUUGUUAUGUUCUUAAGCAUCCAUUUGUCUAGCAGUAGUACCAUACAAUUAUAAAAAAAACUUACAUCAUUUCAUUCCUUGAAUACUGAUUAUGACGAACAAUGAUUUUAUGGGUUCUGACUUCUGAUGGGAAAUUUUAUUACACUUAACAGAUUGUGGUGGAUGCAGUUUCUGCCUCCUGGCAUGGUUACAUGUU